UUUUCCUGGCUGGGCCACUUCGCUCACCUUCAUGGCCUGGUAGUCGGCCGGCAGGAAGAACUUCCAGAGACAGUCCCUGGAAAGGUAAAGACAAUGUCCAGACCCCAACAUGGAGGGAGGUCCUGCAGCUUAUCGUCCUCGCUGCUCGUCUCGGCCUCCUCCGACCCGUCCUGCUCCACGGGGACCAGGCCUGCCAAGGGGGACAUCCGGAGAGAGAGACG
Molecule: long non-coding RNA, 221 nt
Organism: Xiphophorus couchianus (Monterrey platyfish)
Lineage: Eukaryota; Metazoa; Chordata; Actinopteri; Cyprinodontiformes; Poeciliidae
Exons: 2
Source: RefSeq, a predicted model, not a curated record